Molecule: long non-coding RNA, 3239 nt
Filed under: Arachis ipaensis
Lineage: Eukaryota; Viridiplantae; Streptophyta; Magnoliopsida; Fabales; Fabaceae
Description: long non-coding RNA (AIPA_LNC002196)
Source: RNAcentral
UCUGUUUAAAAUUUAAAACCGAAUAUUCAAAACUUCUAUCCAUACGUUACAGUACUGAUUACAAUACUUACAAAUAAUACAUAAAUAUAUAUACAUCAUACCAAUAUACAAACUUCACAUAUCAAAACAACUAUCCCUCUUGCAAAAAUUGCUAGAAAUAAAGGCGAGGAAAAAAUAAAAACUAAGAUAAUACAAAAUAACAUCGAAUAAACAGAAAAUGAAUAUAAUUCUUUUGAAGCUCUGUCGCCCAUAUCCUGAAAAGGGAAAAAUCUGUAGGAAAGUGAGAACAUCGUCCUCGAAAGGGUUCUCAUUAUAGGGUUACAGAAUUGCUAUAAUAAGAUACGAGAAUAAAACCGGUUUUAAAGUACAGUGAUUAAUAACCGCCUUAUGCUUCUUUUCACAACCAAAGAUUUAAUAUUCAAAAUCCGAAAUCCUUUCUAAAAGGGAAAGCUGUUAAUUUCUCAGAAAUCUAAAAGCUUUUUUAAAAGUUUUUCCUAGACAGCAUGAAUGACCAAACUGUUCCAAGCAUAGGUUCAUUAAGUCUAUGCUGAACCAGUUUAGUUUUUCAUACUUUUCUAAACCUAAAGCACAAACCAAACACAGCUUUCAGUCCAUCUCAUAAUCAACCACGGCCCUAGGCCCAAGCAACUCAAUCAACAACCAAUUCAUCACAAUCCAACCAAUUUUCAGUCACAAACACAAUUAAGAAGGUUCAAACACAAUCAAGCAGUUAUAUCAAGUAGAACAAUUAGCAAUUAAACAUAACUAUUCACAUAGGCAAACCAAUUACAAUAUGCACACCCGAUGCAUGCCUGUCCUACUGGCCAUGAACUCACGCGUCGGUUAUGUUGCCAGACCCGACUCGGAUAAGCGGGAUUAAACCACCAUCCUUAUCCGUAGGUUCCACAAGCAAGUGGGACUAAACCAUCAUCCUUGCCCGGAACACGCAAGGGGGAUUAAAUCACCGUCCUUGCCAAAUAAUUUAUCAAUGUAUGAGCGGGACAAAACCACCAUCCUCACUGCAGGCGGGACAAAACCACCAUCCCUGUAUAACGGUUUACGCACUAAGCAAGCAGGACUAUACCACCAUCCUUGCCAGGCCAGAAACCCUCAUCAUAUUCUCAGUAACACCCACAGUCAAUCAGACUCAAAAUCUUAUUUCAAAAUUCAUUCUUGGCCCACUUUCAAAUCACAAACGUAUUCAGUUCACAUCUUGCCAAGAACCACUUUUCUUAAGUAAAUUUUCUUUUCAAAACUUUCAAACAACUUCAUAACCAAGCCAAAUUCAAAAUCUCUUCUAAAAGACUCAAAUCACUCAUUUUCAAAUCAUUCGCUCCACCACUUUGAAAUCAAAAGUUAUUAAUUAACAACCUUGGCAAAGACUCAAGAUUUUAGAGAAGAAUAACCUGCCUCAUUUCUUAAAUUCCUUAGAAAUCCUCGGAAUCAUAGUUACUUAAGUUGAAAUCAAUUAAAAUGAAGCUUUAAAAUCAAAAUCAAAGCAUGUAAGUCAAAAGUUCCGAACCAGUUUCAAAACCAAAAUUAUUUAAGCCCAAAGACCAAUUUCUUUUCGUUCUUAAAUCGGAAACUUUCCCAAAGGCUCGGAUUUGUUUAGUUAAAAUUUAAAGAAUACUUCAAAAGCAAUGCGAAAUUAAGUAAUCAAAGUUCAAUUUCCUUCAAAAUCCGCUAAAACUCCUCCAAAGGUACUUCUUUGUCCAAACUUUAAAACAUAAGUCCCUCAUGUUUAAAUCAAACUUAAAACAUAAACUUUCCUUAAAAGAUUAAACUUGAAUCACCUAUUUCUUAAUAAAUCAAGAACCAAACAAUAGAACCUCUUGAAUCCAAUCCUUUUCUAAAUCGUAUUUUAAAAAAAAUCUGGAAUUUCAUAAAAAAAUUGGCAGCAUCUCUCCUAAAACUUGGACUUUGCCACCCGUUUCGGGUCCCAACCAAACCAUUACGCAACCCCCUCCACGGGUUCAAAACCAAAUUAAUUUAAAAUCAGACUAAUUUCGAAAAUUCAUAUCCUUUUCAUAAUUCAAGAAAUCAGAUCCAAACUCAAUUCAUUUUCAAUGAACCAAACUCGUUUCCGAAAUUGUAAGGAAAUAUUUCAGCAACCAACCAUAUAACCAAAUCAAACCACAAUCCAAUCAAACCACAAACACGUUCAUUCCAAAAUAGCUCAGCAAAACAUAAGGCUUAUACAACCACUAAAAGUACAUUUAUCACAUUAAUAUCCAUUUAUAACAACUCCAAAUCAUAAAAUUAAGUUCUUUGAAAAAGCCCCUACCUCACUAAACGUAGCUUCUCCGUUAGUAGUUUCCAGCACCUGUUUCCAUGGCAGCAACAGUGACGAGGUUAAACGGCCUCCUCUCCUUUCCGAUUUGGGAUUCCAGUAGCAGCAGCAAUCUCCAAACAGAGCCAGCAAUUACCUCCGGUAACGGCAUCGGCAACGUAACUUACUAUAACCACUUUAUUCAAUACGAAUAGUUUCAGCAACAAGUUUCAAGAUAGAAACGAAUUGGUAGAACAAGGAAGAAUCAGAAACAAGGUAAGGCUUACCAAAACAGUAGCGGUUCUAACGGUUCAAAACGGAGCCAGAGCAACAGCAACAGCAACUCCAGCAGCGGCAGUGGAGUUCUUGUCAGAUUUUAGAAACCAGAAGCAGAACUGGCUAGCCUCUCUUCCUCACCAGCAACGGCGGCUCCGACUAAACCAGCGACGGGGGCUCCGACCACACCAGCGACGAUGGUGGCGGCGACGCAUGAAACUCCUCCAGCAGCGGCAACGUGGGGAUUGACGACGACAAACCUUAGUAGCAGCGGCGGCAGAAGUGGCUUCGACAGCAGCACCAAGGCGCGGCAACGGCGCGGUGGCGACGCAGUAGAGGCUCCCUCCUCCACUGACUCUCGGGCGGCUCUUACUUCUUCCCUGAGCGGCGUCGACGAACAGAGGUGGCGGCUCCUUGGACGACAGCUGCGGCGCGACCCUCUCCCUAUCUUGUCUGUGCGACAUGACGGCACGGCGGCAGUGACGCCCGCUGGCGCCGCCCUCACUCUCCCCUCCCCUUCCUCCGCGGAUCCCUCUCUUCUCUUCCCUUUCUAUUUCGGCUGAAGCUGCAUGUGUUGGUGUGUGUAUGUGUUGUUUCUUUUUCUUUGUUUACUGGUGGGGGGAAAGGCGGCUUAGGGUUUCAUUAGGGAUAGGGGGAAAAUGUGGUUUAAUUAGGGUUAGGGUUUGUGUAUGGA